CUCAGAACAGAGGAGGUAUGUAAUAUUGAUAAUUCACAAAAAGUACAAAAGACUCAUGAUAAUAUUAAAUGUAUGCUUACUAAUGCAAGGAGCCUAUAUAACAAAAUGGGGGAACUAGAGGCAAUAGCAUGCACUAAACAAUAUGAUAUAAUAGGCAUAACAGAAACAUGGUGGGAUGAGACACAUGACUGGGCAGUUAAUUUAAAUGGGUACACGUUAUUUAGGAAG
Pelobates cultripes (western spadefoot toad) is the source of this 228-nucleotide non-coding RNA. The record is from the annotation of a GenBank genome assembly. NCBI's taxonomy places the organism in Eukaryota, Metazoa, Chordata, Amphibia, Anura, Pelobatidae.